UGUGAGGGUUGCUGGAGGUAUCAGAAGUGCGAAUGCUGACAUAAGUAACGAUAAAGCGGGUGAAAAGCCCGCUCGCCGGAAGACCAAGGGUUCCUGUCCAACGUUAAUCGGGGCAGGGUGAGUCGACCCCUAAGGCGAGGCCGAAAGGCGUAGUCGAUGGGAAACGGGUUAAUAUUCCCGUACUUGGUGUUACUGCGAAGGGGGGACGGAGAAGGCUAUGUUGGCCGGGCGACGGUUGUCCCGGUUUAAGCGUGUAGGCUGGUUUUCCAGGCAAAUCCGGAAAAUCAAGGCUGAGGCGUGACGACGAGGCACUACGGUGCUGAAGCAACAAAUGCCCUGCUUCCAGGAAAAGCCUCUAAGCAUCAGGUAACACGAAAUCGUACCCCAAACCGACACAGGUGGUCAGGUAGAGAAUACCAAGGCGCUUGAGAGAACUCGGGUGAAGGAACUAGGCAAAAUGGUGCCGUAACUUCGGGAGAAGGCACGCUGACACGUAGGUGAAGUGAUUUACUCAUGGAGCUGAAGUCAGUCGAAGAUACCAGCUGGCUGCAACUGUUUAUUAAAAACACAGCACUGUGCAAACACGAAAGUGGACGUAUACGGUGUGACGCCUGCCCGGUGCCGGAAGGUUAAUUGAUGGGGUCAGCGCAAGCGAAGCUCCUGAUCGAAGCCCCGGUAAACGGCGGCCGUAACUAUAACGGUCCUAAGGUAGCGAAAUUCCUUGUCGGGUAAGUUCCGACCUGCACGAAUGGCGUAAUGAUGGCCAGGCUGUCUCCACCCGAGACUCAGUGAAAUUGAACUCGCUGUGAAGAUGCAGUGUACCCGCGGCAAGACGGAAAGACCCCGUGAACCUUUACUAUAGCUUGACACUGAACAUUGAGCCUUGAUGUGUAGGAUAGGUGGGAGGCUUUGAAGCGUGGACGCCAGUCUGCGUGGAGCCGACCUUGAAAUACCACCCUUUAAUGUUUGAUGUUCUAACGUGGACCCGUAAUCCGGGUUGCGGACAGUGUCUGGUGGGUAGUUUGACUGGGGCGGUCUCCUCCUAAAGAGUAACGGAGGAGCACGAAGGUUGGCUAAUCCUGGUCGGACAUCAGGAGGUUAGUGCAAUGGCAUAAGCCAGCUUGACUGCGAGCGUGACGGCGCGAGCAGGUGCGAAAGCAGGUCAUAGUGAUCCGGUGGUUCUGAAUGGAAGGGCCAUCGCUCAACGGAUAAAAGGUACUCCGGGGAUAACAGGCUGAUACCGCCCAAGAGUUCAUAUCGACGGCGGUGUUUGGCACCUCGAUGUCGGCUCAUCACAUCCUGGGGCUGAAGUAGGUCCCAAGGGUAUGGCUGUUCGCCAUUUAAAGUGGUACGCGAGCUGGGUUUAGAACGUCGUGAGACAGUUCGGUCCCUAUCUGCCGUGGGCGCUGGAGAACUGAGGGGGGCUGCUCCUAGUACGAGAGGACCGGAGUGGACGCAUCACUGGUGUUCGGGUUGUCAUGCCAAUGGCACUGCCCGGUAGCUAAAUGCGGAAGAGAUAAGUGCUGAAAGCAUCUAAGCACGAAACUUGCCCCGAGAUGAGUUCUCCCUGAGACUUAGAGUCUCCUGAAGGAACGUUGAAGACGACGACGUUGAUAGGCCGGGUGUGUAAGCGCAGCGAUGCGUUGAGCUAACCGGUACUAAUGAACCGUGAGGCUUAACCUU
This 1683-nucleotide ribosomal RNA is filed under the name Salmonella enterica. RNAcentral's name for it is "partial 23S ribosomal RNA". It matches the Rfam family "Bacterial large subunit ribosomal RNA", at positions 1262 to 2925 of the family's 2925-position model. The record is from RNAcentral. Lineage: Bacteria; Pseudomonadati; Pseudomonadota; Gammaproteobacteria; Enterobacterales; Enterobacteriaceae.